RNAcentral lists this ribosomal RNA (427 nucleotides) under uncultured bacterium. Its description in RNAcentral is "partial 16S ribosomal RNA". It matches the Rfam family "Bacterial small subunit ribosomal RNA", at positions 355 to 774 of the family's 1533-position model. The record is from RNAcentral.
UGGGGAAUAUUGCACAAUGGGCGCAAGCCUGAUGCAGCCAUGCCGCGUGUAUGAAGAAGGCCUUCGGGUUGUAAAGUACUUUCAGCGGGGAGGAAGGUGUUGUGGUUAAUAACCACAGCAAUUGACGUUACCCGCAGAAGAAGCACCGGCUAACUCCGUGCCAGCAGCCGCGGUAAUACGGAGGGUGCAAGCGUUAAUCGGAAUUACUGGGCGUAAAGCGCACGCAGGCGGUCUGUCAAGUCGGAUGUGAAAUCCCCGGGCUCAACCUGGGAACUGCAUCCGAAACUGGCAGGCGUGAGUCUUGUAGAGGGGGGUAGAAUUCCAGGUGUAGCGGUGAAAUGCGUAGAGAUCUGGAGGAAUACCGGUGGCGAAGGCGGCCCCCUGGACAAAGACUGACGCUCAGGUGCGAAAGCGUGGGGAGCAAACA